Molecule: ribosomal RNA, 468 nt
Filed under: uncultured bacterium
Lineage: Bacteria
Description: partial 16S ribosomal RNA
Rfam family: Bacterial small subunit ribosomal RNA
Source: RNAcentral
GACGAACGCUGGCGGCGUGCUUAACACAUGCAAGUCGAACGGAAAGGCCCUGCUUUUGUGGGGUGCUCGAGUGGCGAACGGGUGAGUAACACGUGAGUAACCUGCCCUUGACUUUGGGAUAACUUCAGGAAACUGGGGCUAAUACCGGAUAGGAGCUCCUGCUGCAUGGUGGGGGUUGGAAAGUUUCGGCGGUUGGGGAUGGACUCGCGGCUUAUCAGCUUGUUGGUGGGGUAGUGGCUUACCAAGGCUUUGACGGGUAGCCGGCCUGGGAGGUUGACCGGCCACAUUGGGACUGAGGGACGGCCCAGACUCCUACGUGAGGCAGCAGGGGGGAAUAUUGCACAAUGAGCGGAAGCCUGAUGCAGCAACGCCGCGUGCGGGAUGACGGCCUUCUGGUUGUAAACCGCUUUCGCCUGUGACGAAGCGUGAGUGACGGUAAUUAGUAAAGAAGCACCGGCUAACUACGUG